Sus scrofa (pig) is the source of this 1446-nucleotide non-coding RNA. NCBI's taxonomy places the organism in Eukaryota, Metazoa, Chordata, Mammalia, Artiodactyla, Suidae. The record is from RefSeq and is a predicted model, not a curated record.
GCUCCUUCCCUGUCGCCCGUGGGUCACCUCCACCGCCCCUGCUCUGCACCCAGUGCCUGCCUCUCAGAGCAAAGCUGCACUGUUAUCGGCGGCUGCCACAUGCUAGUCCUGCCUGGAUUCAGGAACUAGUUGUGAGAUCCGUGAGGCCCGGAGGAGAUGUAAGCAGACCAGUCAUGUAUGGUGCCCUGUCAAAAUGAACACACAUAGCCCACUGUUCAAAAAUUAAUCCAUUGAUGGCCAAAUGAAUCAACAAAAUGUGUCAUACAUUCACAACGGAAUAUUAUUCAGCCUUAAAAAAGGAAUACAAUUCUAACUGUAACGUCACAUGGAUGAGCCUUGAAGACACUAUGCUACGUGAAAGAAACCAGAGGACAAGUAUUGCAUGAUUCUGCUUAUGUGAGGCCUUUGGGACCACAGCAACAUUCUUCUCCAAGCUGUGUGCAUUUUUCAUCACACUUUGUCCACGGUAGGAGCUGGCAAACCUGUAAGUGCAACCAGAUGCUUCAGUGAAGUGGGAUUUAGUUCCUGAGGGCUCAGUUUCCCCGUGAGAAACCAUCCGCCCAGCAUCCCUAGGAGGUCUCUGCUGUUGCCAGGCAACCCCGUCCCUCCCUGAGCUUCAGGUCAGGGCCCUGCCUGUGGGAAUGACUUCCUUUGUCCUCACAUGCCCCUUCCUGCCUUUUAAACGUUCUCUGGUGGCUGAGAGCACCCCACAUGUGAGACCAGACUGUAUCCUGAUUCGUGCUACGCUUGGCAUGUGUAUUUCUGAGCUUUUUCUCCCCAGGAACCUGAAGUCCUUUUCUGUAUGUCAUGGAUAUUAUAUGAUCUAUAUGCAGAAAGCAUAUAUGAACACAUUACACAUGCAAAUGGAGCUAGCUCCUUGGAAGUUCCCUGUUCCUUCCUUGCCAGCUGCCAGCUUUGGCAGGCCUGCUGAAACCCAGGCAGGCCAUUUUAUUCAUCACGGCACAAAACCAGGGUUUGGCCCCUGUCUUCCUAAAAAUCACGAGAUACAAAGACUGGGAAGAAGAGGGGGUGGUUUUAGUUCUCCCUUGACAACACUGGCCCUUUCCUGGAGGCUAAAUGAAGCUUUUUGCCCCCACCUAUUGUGAACCUGUCUUCCUUAUGAUGGAGUACUUGUGGCUUUAUUCUUUGGGGAGCACCGAGACAGUGUCUAAAGAACAGCUGGAUAUAUAUAUAAGAGGGCAGUCUCGGCCUCUGGGGGGCCUGGCCAUCAGGAUCCAAGGUUUCUUUGUGGAAGGAAUGUGUGCGGCAUGAUAGAAACCCUUCCAUUUCAUAGAAAACUCAGGAUGUAACACAAGCGUCUGCUUGGCAUGGCGGUUCCCGAGUCUUUCUUCUGGGAAGUCAUUCUUUCCUUUAAUAUCCAAAAAAUGCUUUCAGUGUUGUCGCUUUCUCUCUCUCCCUGCUCCCCUCCCCCUCUCUUUCUCGACC